AGCAGUGAUGAAAUUCCACUCCAUUGGUCCGUGUUUCUGAAUCCGAUGAUGUUUUUUCCUGGAUGUUCUGAUGCU
Small nucleolar RNA from Phyllostomus hastatus (greater spear-nosed bat), 75 nucleotides. RefSeq annotates it as small nucleolar RNA SNORD18. NCBI's taxonomy places the organism in Eukaryota, Metazoa, Chordata, Mammalia, Chiroptera, Phyllostomidae. The record is from RefSeq and is a predicted model, not a curated record. The transcript has a single exon.